This 301-nucleotide ribosomal RNA is filed under the name uncultured bacterium. Its description in RNAcentral is "partial 16S ribosomal RNA". It matches the Rfam family "Bacterial small subunit ribosomal RNA", at positions 509 to 807 of the family's 1533-position model. The record is from RNAcentral.
CAGUCGCCGCGGUAAUACGUAGGGUGCGAGCGUUAAUCGGGAUUACUGGGCGUAAAGCGUGAGCAGGCGGUUCGUUAAGACAGAUGUGAAAUCCCCGGGCUUAACCUGGGAACUGCAUUUGUGACUGGCGAGCUAGAGUAUGGCAGAGGGGGGUAGAAUUCCACGUGUAGCAGUGAAAUGCGUUGAGAUGUGGAGGAAUACCGAUGGCGAAGGCAGCCCCCUGGGCCAAUACUGACGCUCAUGCACGAAAGCGUGGGGAGCAAACAGGAUUAGAUACCCGCGUAGUCCCUGUCUCUUAUAC